RNAcentral lists this ribosomal RNA (1369 nucleotides) under uncultured bacterium. RNAcentral's name for it is "bacterial SSU rRNA". It matches the Rfam family "Bacterial small subunit ribosomal RNA", at positions 28 to 1381 of the family's 1533-position model. The record is from RNAcentral.
GACGAACGCUGGCGGCGUGCCUAAUACAUGCAAGUAGAACGCUGAAGAGAGGAGCUUGCUCUUCUUGGAUGAGUUGCGAACGGGUGAGUAACGCGUAGGUAACCUGCCUUGUAGCGGGGGAUAACUAUUGGAAACGAUAGCUAAUACCGCAUAACAAUGGAUGACACAUGUCAUUUAUUUGAAAGGGGCAAUUGCUCCACUACAAGAUGGACCUGCGUUGUAUUAGCUAGUAGGUGAGGUAACGGCUCACCUAGGCGACGAUACAUAGCCGACCUGAGAGGGUGAUCGGCCACACUGGGACUGAGACACGGCCCAGACUCCUACGGGAGGCAGCAGUAGGGAAUCUUCGGCAAUGGGGGCAACCCUGACCGAGCAACGCCGCGUGAGUGAAGAAGGUUUUCGGAUCGUAAAGCUCUGUUGUAAGUCAAGAACGAGUGUGAGAGUGGAAAAUUCACACUGUGACGGUAGCUUACCAGAAAGGGACGGCUAACUACGUGCCAGCAGCCGCGGUAAUACGUAGGUCCCGAGCGUUGUCCGGAUUUAUUGGGCGUAAAGCGAGCGCAGGCGGUUUGAUAAGUCUGAAGUUAAAGGCUGUGGCUCAACCAUAGUUCGCUUUGGAAACUGUCAAACUUGAGUGCAGAAGGGGAGAGUGGAAUUCCAUGUGUAGCGGUGAAAUGCGUAGAUAUAUGGAGGAACACCGGUGGCGAAAGCGGCUCUCUGGUCUGUAACUGACGCUGAGGCUCGAAAGCGUGGGGAGCGAACAGGAUUAGAUACCCUGGUAGUCCACGCCGUAAACGAUGAGUGCUAGGUGUUGGAUCCUUUCCGGGAUUCAGUGCCGCAGCUAACGCAUUAAGCACUCCGCCUGGGGAGUACGACCGCAAGGUUGAAACUCAAAGGAAUUGACGGGGGCCCGCACAAGCGGUGGAGCAUGUGGUUUAAUUCGAAGCAACGCGAAGAACCUUACCAGGUCUUGACAUCCCGAUGCUAUUUCUAGAGAUAGAAAGUUACUUCGGUACAUCGAUGACAGGUGGUGCAUGGUUGUCGUCAGCUCGUGUCGUGAGAUGUUGGGUUAAGUCCCGCAACGAGCGCAACCCCUAUUGUUAGUUGCCAUCAUUCAGUUGGGCACUCUAGCGAGGCUGCCGGUAAUAAACCGGAGGAAGGUGGGGAUGACGUCAAAUCAUCAUGCCCCUUAUGACCUGGGCUACACACGUGCUACAAUGGUUGGUACAACGAGUUGCGAGUCGGUGACGGCAAGCUAAUCUCUUAAAGCCAAUCUCAGUUCGGAUUGUAGGCUGCAACUCGCCUACAUGAAGUCGGAAUCGCUAGUAAUCGCGGAUCAGCACGCCGCGGUGAAUACGUUCCCGGGCCU